GGGCUAGUGGUUCUUAAAGGGACUGUGCUCUGAGUGCACAUGUCCAGACACAGGGUGCAAAUCAAUGAAAAGACCGACGUGAUGUGCCCAUCUUCACCUCAGGCAGCUGAUCGGAAGUAUGUAACAGAUCAAUGAGAAGAUCACUGCCCCUCCAGGUCCUGCAUCACCUCCUCAGAGUGGCUGCGGACCAUCAACUGUGGAGACAGAGCUACUUCUGCUGAGCCCUCUACAGGUCAGGAGACAGCUCCAACAUAAAGCAUGGCAUACCUUCCUUGACCUGGUUCCUGCCAAGCAUUCCAGAUCCUUCCCUCGUGACAUCCACUCCUCCUCUCCCUAUACCCUGUAAUCCAGCCAUAUGAAGAUUUACUUGUUGGUUUUAUGUCUUGGGGUCUUCGCAUGCCAGGGCUCUGUCUUCCUGGAAUGGCUUUCCUUGUGCUGCCUUCCAGACAGACUGCAAUGAAGCUUGGGAGAUGCAGCUCUAGCAUUUACUCCUCGGUCAAGCCCCCCGGCAGAGCUUGAUUCCCUGUUAUGUCACAGCUAGGCUUUGUGUAUUUUCUCUUACAGCCCAUCUCAACGCAUUGCAAUAUUUUGCAAUCUGCACUUUACUUCUAGAACAUUAGCUCAGACACUUGCCAGUUGUGUUUCGCAUGCUCAGGCCAGCACACAAAAGUAAG
Kogia breviceps (pygmy sperm whale) is the source of this 674-nucleotide non-coding RNA. Lineage: Eukaryota; Metazoa; Chordata; Mammalia; Artiodactyla; Physeteridae. The record is from RefSeq and is a predicted model, not a curated record.